GAGAUUGGGGAUAUCGAGCCACGCCUACGUCUACACAUCACAGACUGAUGAACAGGAUUUCAUUCACAAGCUGGUGGUGCAUGACAUCCGUGUCUCAUGGACAAGGUUCAACAGAGAUGCGGUGCUGGGACUCUGACACCUACAACAAGUCACAGUUGAGCUGGAGAACAGCCAAGUCAUGCUGAAAGGCUGCAAAGCGUCGGGUUAUGUCAUCGUCUGCACGUCUAGUGCCCAGAUCAUGCGGUGUUCCCACUUACCAGCCUGGAGGGAAGGUCGCCUGACUAAGAAGACCAGCUGGGUGGGCAAGCUGGAUGGACUGCAGGCCAGGCCCAUGUCCCUGAAAGUGAUGACGAUAAUUCCAGCUCCUGGGGUUCUGACACCAACAUCCCCUCUAGAAGGACCAAGACCGCGUGGUCAGCGACGCUGAGAUGUGACACAUGACGCUCACCAGACCGGCUAAGGUUGGUGCUUAUUGGGUCAGUCACUACCGAACACCAUUACCACACUGCAAAAACAGACAGACAAGCAAGACCCUUGGAGGAAUUCAAGCUGACUUUGGGGUACAAGUUUGG
Patiria miniata (bat star) is the source of this 572-nucleotide long non-coding RNA. RefSeq lists it as uncharacterized. Lineage: Eukaryota; Metazoa; Echinodermata; Asteroidea; Valvatida; Asterinidae. The transcript is spliced from 4 exons. The record is from RefSeq and is a predicted model, not a curated record.